RNAcentral lists this long non-coding RNA (671 nucleotides) under Malus domestica (apple). Its description in RNAcentral is "long non-coding RNA (MDOM_LNC001762)". Lineage: Eukaryota; Viridiplantae; Streptophyta; Magnoliopsida; Rosales; Rosaceae. The record is from RNAcentral.
UCAGUUAAUGGUGUUAGAAUAUUCCGUCAACUUUGAUGGAAUAUUCUCCUUCUUCUCCGGUUGUCCUCCGCCGUCCGUCGUUGUCUGGUUCGCCAGAAACAGGAAAAAAUUUCAGAACAUCAAAACUUCUUCAUUUCUCAACAAUUUUUUAUGCACUUUGUAUGGGAAUGAAGCUUGUGAGGAGUAGAACAAGAUUGUACCUUUCAAAAGUCCAAAAAGUGGACGGAAACAGACUGAAAUUGGCUCAAAAGUCUCGGACGUAAACUCAACAUCUCAAACCCGUUGGUUUCCUCAUUAACUCCACUUCAAAACCAAGCUAACGGCCUUGGGAAGUUGCCUAGAUGUUUCCAAAACUCCCAAAAUCUUAUAACUCGAACUGAAAAACGUUAAGGAAAACUCCACCUGAAUCGGAGCUCUGAGUUGGAAGCUCAAAACUCGUUUAUUUCAUGAUCUGUUCGUACGGAAGGGUUCGUGAGGAUGAGAUUAUCUUGAUUGUGGUAAUUUUAGGCUUGAUCUAUGAAGUUUGAUGGUGAUCCUUGGUGUUGCAGAGAGGAGAGAGUUACAGGUGAAGGAGAGAGAAGGAGAAGAUGAGAAAGAGAGAGAGGUGACAAUUUCUGAUUGGGCAGAGAUGAGAGAUGUCUGAUUGGGUGAAAAAGUGUGGGAAAAGAAAU